Molecule: ribosomal RNA, 1315 nt
Filed under: unidentified marine bacterioplankton
Lineage: Bacteria
Description: bacterial SSU rRNA
Rfam family: Bacterial small subunit ribosomal RNA
Source: RNAcentral
GAGUUUGAUCAUGGCUCAGAACGUACGCUGGCGGCACGCCUAAUACAUGCAAGUCGAACGAGGUAGCAAUACUUAGUGGCAGACGGGUGAGUAACUUGUAGGUAUCUUCCCUUUGGUGAGGAAUAACACGAGGAAACUUGUGCUAAUACCUCAUAAGUCUUUACGGAGAAAGCUUUAUGCGCCAAUGGAUGAGCCUGCACUUGAUUAGUUUGUUGGUGGGGUAAUGGCCUACCAAGACAAUGAUCAAUAGCUGAUUUGAGAGGAUGAUCAGCCACAUUGGGACUGAGACACGGCCCAAACUCCUACGGGAGGCAGCAGUAGGGAAUCUUGCACAAUGGGGGAAACCCUGAUGCAGCGAUGCCGCGUGAGUGAAGAAGGCCUUUGGGUUGUAAAGCUCUUUCGUCGGGGAAGAAAAUGACUGUACCCGAAUAAGAAGGUCCGGCUAACUUCGUGCCAGCAGCCGCGGUAAUACGAAGGGACCUAGCGUAGUUCGGAAUUACUGGGCUUAAAGAGUUCGUAGGUGGUUAAAAAAGUUGGUGGUGAAAUCCCAGAGCUUAACUCUGGAACUGCCAUCAAAACUUUUUAGCUAGAGUAUGAUAGAGGAAAGCAGAAUUUCUAGUGUAGAGGUGAAAUUCGUAGAUAUUAGAAAGAAUACCAAUUGCGAAGGCAGCUUUCUGGAUCAUUACUGACACUGAGGAACGAAAGCAUGGGUAGCGAAGAGGAUUAGAUACCCUCGUAGUCCAUGCCGUAAACGAUGUGUGUUAGACGUUGGAAAUUUAUUUUCAGUGUCGCAGCGAAAGCAAUAAACACACCGCCUGGGGAGUACGACCGCAAGGUUAAAACUCAAAUGAAUUGACGGGGACCCGCACAAGUAGUGGAGCAUGUGGUUUAAUCCGAAGAUACGCGCAGAACCUUACCAACACUUGACAUGUUCGUCGCGACUUUAAGAGAUUAAAGUUUUCGGUUCGGCCGGACGAAACACAGGUGCUGCAUGGCUGUCGUCAGCUCGUGUCGUGAGAUGUUGGGUUAAGUCCCGCAACGAGCGCAACCCUCACUUUUAGUUGCCAUCAUUUAGUUGGGCACUCUGAAAGAACUGCCAGUGAUAAGCUGGAGGAAGGUGGGGAUGACGUCAAGUCCUCAUGGCCCUUACGUGUUGGGCUACACACGUGCUACAAUGGCAUUUACAAUAGGAAGCAAAACGGCGACGUUAAGCAAAUCCUAAAAAAAUGCCUCAGUUCGGAUUGUACUCUGCAACUCGAGUACAUGAAGCUGGAAUUACUAGUAAUCACGGAUCAGCGCGCCGCGGUGAAUACGU